This 500-nucleotide ribosomal RNA is filed under the name uncultured Glomeromycotina. RNAcentral describes it as "partial small subunit ribosomal RNA". It matches the Rfam family "Eukaryotic small subunit ribosomal RNA", at positions 591 to 1092 of the family's 1831-position model. The record is from RNAcentral. Lineage: Eukaryota; Fungi; Glomeromycota.
CCAAUAGCGUAUAUUAAAGUUGUUGCAGUUAAAAAGCUCGUAGUUGAAUUUCGGGAUCAAUAUAUCGGUCGUGCCAUCGGUACGUACUGGUAUCAUUGGUUUCUCCUUUCUGACGAACCAUGAUGUCAUUAAUUUGGUGUUAUGGGAAGUUAGGACUGUUACUUUGAAAAAAUUAGAGUGUUUAAAGCAGGCUCACGCUUGAAUACAUUAGCAUGGAAUAAUGAAAUAGGACGUUUGAUUCUAUUUUGUUGGUUUCUAGGAUCGACGUAAUGAUUAAUAGGGGUAGUUGGGGGCAUUAGUAUUCAAUUGUCAGAGGUGAAAUUCUUGGAUUUAUUGAAGACUAACUACUGCGAAAGCAUUUGCCAAGAAUGUUUUCAUUAAUCAAGAACGAAAGUUAGGGGAUCGCAGACGAUCAGAUACCAUCGUAGUCUUAACCAUAAACUAUGCCGACUAGGGAUCGGAUGAUGUUAAUUUUUUAAUGACUCAUUCGGCGCCUUACG